This is a long non-coding RNA of Oncorhynchus tshawytscha (Chinook salmon), 711 nucleotides long. The record is from Ensembl. Lineage: Eukaryota; Metazoa; Chordata; Actinopteri; Salmoniformes; Salmonidae.
CAGGGGAGGAGGCAGAGAGUGAAUGGAUGGGACUGUGGACGAUAAGGAUAUGUGGACCUAGUAGACAGCUUCGCUUUCUGGCCCCAAUGGAUCACUAGCGAAAGAGCAGCGGUUAAUUUUACGUUCUUUAUUCGUUUUGGUGGGCUACAGCCGGAGAGAACGCCGGUGGAAUAAUUUGUUUUUAUCGCUGCCGGUAAAAAACCUUCUGUUCAUACAAAAAGUUCAAUUCGACCAUAACGGCGACAAAUAAAAAAAAGGAACUGGAACACGCUGUCGUACACGCCAAUCCAGAGCAUCCCAAACAUGCUCAAUGGGUGACAUGUCUGGUGUGUAUGCAGGCCAUGGAAGAACUGGGACAUUUUCAGAUUCCAGGAAUUCUGUACAGAUCCUUGCGACAUGGGGCCGUGCAUUAUCAUGCUGAAACAUGAGUUUACUCCUGCCGAUGCCAUAACCCCACCACCACCAUGGGGCACUCUGUUCACAAUGUUGACAUCAGCAAAUCCGCUUGCCCCCAUUAAGCCAUACACAUUGUCUGCCAUCUGCCUGGUACAGAUGAAACCGGGAUUCAUCUGUGAAGAGUAUACUUCUCGAGCAUGCCACUGGCCAUCGAAGGUGAGCAUUUGUCUACUGAAGUUGUUUAUGAUGCCGAACUGCAGGUCAAGACCCUGAUGAGGACAACGAGCACUCAGAUGAGCUUCCCUGACAUGGUUU